CAACUGGAUAAAAAUAGUCUUGAACUAAAUAUGCACAUGAUGUUUGAGAAGAGUGUUCUUCGUGUAAUUUGAUAAUAUUUGAUAUGCAAUAAGCGAAAACAUGUACGUACAAAUUCCAUGCACAUGAAUGUCGAAUCUGUCAAAACCUUUUACAAUAGAUCGCAGACAUCAUUUUCUACAUUCUGAUGGUUUAACUGACGCCAUGAAUAUAUUAUUUGCUUCACAUUCUAUGUAAAAAUGGUACAAUUUAUGGAACUUCC
RNAcentral lists this long non-coding RNA (260 nucleotides) under Mytilus galloprovincialis (Mediterranean mussel). The record is from RNAcentral. Lineage: Eukaryota; Metazoa; Mollusca; Bivalvia; Mytilida; Mytilidae.